Molecule: long non-coding RNA, 385 nt
Filed under: Chlamydomonas reinhardtii
Lineage: Eukaryota; Viridiplantae; Chlorophyta; Chlorophyceae; Chlamydomonadales; Chlamydomonadaceae
Description: long non-coding RNA (CREI_LNC000970)
Source: RNAcentral
AUACCUCAUCCUCUGCAUUCUAACAUAAUGUACUACGGAUGUAAGAUUUUAACUUAGUGUACUAGGGAGGAUGUAAGAAGGAGAAAACGGCCUCAACCCGGUGAUGUAAAGCACUCCGCACUCGGACGGCUUUGAGUGUUGGCGUUGAUUGAUUUUUAUAGGCAGUCGUCAAUAUGCACAGUGUGGCCAAGUUAAUUUACACAAGUCAACGAGUUGACGAAGAUGGGUUUGCGUCCCCCGGCCGGGGGACGCGCGACCAUUUUCUCUAAGACACAGGCCUCGCCCCGGACUCCGCGCCCCUGUGUUUCCACGUAAUAAACACCACAUUUGGGAGCUAUUACAAGGCUUUCUGGGCUGGCGAGGAUACAGGGGGCAGGUGGGUGUG